UACGACGACCAUACCACCCUGAAUGUGCCUGAUCUCGUCUGAUCUCGUCUGAAGCCAAGCAGGGACAGGCCUGGUUAGUUCUUGGAUGGAAGAUCACCUAAGAAUACCAGGUGCUGUAGGCA
This 122-nucleotide ribosomal RNA is filed under the name Pteropus alecto (black flying fox). The record is from RNAcentral. Lineage: Eukaryota; Metazoa; Chordata; Mammalia; Chiroptera; Pteropodidae.